This 107-nucleotide small nuclear RNA is filed under the name Salvator merianae (Argentine black and white tegu). Lineage: Eukaryota; Metazoa; Chordata; Lepidosauria; Squamata; Teiidae. The record is from RNAcentral.
GUGUUUGCUUCAGCAGCACAUAUACUAAAAUUGGAACAAUACAGAGAAGGUUAGCAUGGGCCCUGUGCAUGAAUGACCCACACAUUUGUGAAGCAUUCCAUACAUUU